This 70-nucleotide microRNA precursor is filed under the name Schmidtea mediterranea. RNAcentral's name for it is "Sme-Mir-750_pre stem-loop". The record is from RNAcentral. Lineage: Eukaryota; Metazoa; Platyhelminthes; Tricladida; Dugesiidae.
CACUGGAAGGUUUGGUUUAGCUGCUGUGCACCGUCAUGUCGACACAGUCAGAUCUAACUCUUCCAGUUCU